Molecule: ribosomal RNA, 1524 nt
Filed under: Microbacterium flavum
Lineage: Bacteria; Bacillati; Actinomycetota; Actinomycetes; Micrococcales; Microbacteriaceae
Description: bacterial SSU rRNA
Rfam family: Bacterial small subunit ribosomal RNA
Source: RNAcentral
UUUAUGGAGAGUUUGAUCCUGGCUCAGGAUGAACGCUGGCGGCGUGCUUAACACAUGCAAGUCGAACGGUGAAGGUGGAGCUUGCUCCACCGGAUCAGUGGCGAACGGGUGAGUAACACGUGAGCAAUCUGCCCCUGACUCUGGGAUAAGCGCUGGAAACGGCGUCUAAUACCGGAUACGAACUGCGAAGGCAUCUUCAGCAGUUGGAAAGAAUUUCGGUCAGGGAUGAGCUCGCGGCCUAUCAGCUUGUUGGUGAGGUAAUGGCUCACCAAGGCGUCGACGGGUAGCCGGCCUGAGAGGGUGACCGGCCACACUGGGACUGAGACACGGCCCAGACUCCUACGGGAGGCAGCAGUGGGGAAUAUUGCACAAUGGGCGCAAGCCUGAUGCAGCAACGCCGCGUGAGGGACGACGGCCUUCGGGUUGUAAACCUCUUUUAGCAGGGAAGAAGCGAAAGUGACGGUACCUGCAGAAAAAGCGCCGGCUAACUACGUGCCAGCAGCCGCGGUAAUACGUAGGGCGCAAGCGUUAUCCGGAAUUAUUGGGCGUAAAGAGCUCGUAGGCGGUUUGUCGCGUCUGCUGUGAAAUCCCGAGGCUCAACCUCGGGUCUGCAGUGGGUACGGGCAGACUAGAGUGCGGUAGGGGAGAUUGGAAUUCCUGGUGUAGCGGUGGAAUGCGCAGAUAUCAGGAGGAACACCGAUGGCGAAGGCAGAUCUCUGGGCCGUAACUGACGCUGAGGAGCGAAAGGGUGGGGAGCAAACAGGCUUAGAUACCCUGGUAGUCCACCCCGUAAACGUUGGGAACUAGUUGUGGGGUCCAUUCCACGGAUUCCGUGACGCAGCUAACGCAUUAAGUUCCCCGCCUGGGGAGUACGGCCGCAAGGCUAAAACUCAAAGGAAUUGACGGGGACCCGCACAAGCGGCGGAGCAUGCGGAUUAAUUCGAUGCAACGCGAAGAACCUUACCAAGGCUUGACAUAUACGAGAACGGGCCAGAAAUGGUCAACUCUUUGGACACUCGUAAACAGGUGGUGCAUGGUUGUCGUCAGCUCGUGUCGUGAGAUGUUGGGUUAAGUCCCGCAACGAGCGCAACCCUCGUUCUAUGUUGCCAGCACGUAAUGGUGGGAACUCAUGGGAUACUGCCGGGGUCAACUCGGAGGAAGGUGGGGAUGACGUCAAAUCAUCAUGCCCCUUAUGUCUUGGGCUUCACGCAUGCUACAAUGGCCGGUACAAAGGGCUGCAAUACCGUAAGGUGGAGCGAAUCCCAAAAAGCCGGUCCCAGUUCGGAUUGAGGUCUGCAACUCGACCUCAUGAAGUCGGAGUCGCUAGUAAUCGCAGAUCAGCAACGCUGCGGUGAAUACGUUCCCGGGUCUUGUACACACCGCCCGUCAAGUCAUGAAAGUCGGUAACACCUGAAGCCGGUGGCCCAACCCUUGUGGAGGGAGCCGUCGAAGGUGGGAUCGGUAAUUAGGACUAAGUCGUAACAAGGUAGCCGUACCGGAAGGUGCGGCUGGAUCACCUCCUUU